GCCCCCGAGCCCGAAUGGAUAGGGGCCGGCCUACGAAGCCGGUCGAUGCGGGUUCGAGUCCCGCCGGGGGCGCCG
Molecule: transfer RNA, 75 nt
Filed under: Sorangium cellulosum So ce56
Lineage: Bacteria; Pseudomonadati; Myxococcota; Polyangiales; Polyangiaceae
Description: sce_20050509_34
Rfam family: tRNA
About the family: Transfer RNA (tRNA) molecules are approximately 80 nucleotides in length. Their secondary structure includes four short double-helical elements and three loops (D, anti-codon, and T loops). Further hydrogen bonds mediate the characteristic L-shaped molecular structure. tRNAs have two regions of fundamental functional importance: the anti-codon, which is responsible for specific mRNA codon recognition, and the 3' end, to which the tRNAs corresponding amino acid is attached (by aminoacyl-tRNA synthetases). tRNAs cope with the degeneracy of the genetic code in two manners: having more than one tRNA (with a specific anti-codon) for a particular amino acid; and 'wobble' base-pairing, i.e. permitting non-standard base-pairing at the 3rd anti-codon position.
Source: RNAcentral